CCUCCGUCCCAUUUUCGUUUUUCCAUGUCCAAUGUUUAACCAUUCGUCUUAUUUGAAAUUUUUUUAUUAAUAUUUUUAUUGUUAUUAGAUGAUAAAAUAUGAAUAGUACUUUAUACGUGACUAAUUAAGUUUUUGUGCAAAAUUUUUCAAAUAAGACGAAUGGUCAAACGUUGGACACGGAAAAAC
Molecule: non-coding RNA, 186 nt
Organism: Oryza brachyantha (malo sina)
Lineage: Eukaryota; Viridiplantae; Streptophyta; Magnoliopsida; Poales; Poaceae
Source: Rfam